RNAcentral lists this ribosomal RNA (498 nucleotides) under uncultured bacterium. RNAcentral describes it as "partial 16S ribosomal RNA". The record is from RNAcentral.
GUAGUUAGCCGGGGCUUUCUUACAGGGUACCGUCACUUCUUCGUCCCCUGCGACAGAGGUUUACAAUCCGAAAACCUUCUUCCCUCACGCGGCGUUGCUGGGUCAGGCUUGCGCCCAUUGCCCAAUAUUCCCCACUGCUGCCUCCCGUAGGAGUCUGGACCGUGUCUCAGUUCCAGUGUGGCCGAUCAGCCUCUCAGCUCGGCUACCCAUCGUCGGCUUGGUGGGCUGUUAUCUCACCAACUACCUAAUGGGACGCGAACCCCUCUAAAAGCGAUAAAUCUUUGACCUCUUCCCGAUGCCGGGUUGUGGUCUUAUGCGGUAUUAGCAGUUGUUUCCACCUGUUAUUCCCCACUCUUAGGCAGGUUGUUCACGCGUUACUCACCCGUGCGCCACUAGAAUUAUCAAUUCCAUCCGAAAACUUCCUUAAUAAUCCCCGUUCGACUUGCAUGUGUUAGGCACGCCGCCAGCGUUCGUCCUGAGCCAGAAUCAAACUACUGA